RNAcentral lists this ribosomal RNA (434 nucleotides) under uncultured bacterium. RNAcentral describes it as "partial 16S ribosomal RNA". It matches the Rfam family "Bacterial small subunit ribosomal RNA", at positions 29 to 507 of the family's 1533-position model. The record is from RNAcentral.
AGCGAACGCUGGCGGCAGGCCUAACACAUGCAAGUCGAACGAACCUUUCGGGGUUAGUGGCGGACGGGUGAGUAACACGUGGGAACGUUCCUUUAGGUUCGGAAUAACUCAGGGAAACUUGUGCUAAUACCGAAUGUGCCCUUCGGGGGAAAGAUUUAUCGCCUUUAGAGCGGCCCGCGUCUGAUUAGCUAGUUGGUUGAGGUAAUGGCUCACCCAGGCGACGAUCAGUAGCUGGUCUGAGAGGAUGAUCAGCCACAUUGGGACUGAGACACGGCCCAAACUCAUACGGGAGGCAGCAGUGGGGAAUCUUGCGAAAUGGGCGAGAGUCUGACGCAGCCAUGCCGCGUGAAUGAUGAAGGUAUUAGGAGUGUAAAAUUCUUUCACCGGGGAAGAUAAUGACGGUACCCGGAGAAGAAGCCCCGGCUAACUUCGUG